AACGUAGACCUCAAGCGUUAUCCGGAUUUAUUGGGCGUAAAGAGCAUGUAGGAGGUUUUGUGCGUCUUCUGUUAAAGCCCACCGCCUAACGGUGGAAUCGCAGGAGAUACGACAGAACUAGAGGAGGUUAGAGGUGCAUGGAACGCACGGUGUAGGGGUGAAAUCCGUUGAUAUCGUGCGGAACACCAAAGGCGAAGGCAGUGCACUGGGACCUUCCUGACUCUGAGAUGCGAAAGCGUGGGGAGCAAAAAGG
This 253-nucleotide ribosomal RNA is filed under the name uncultured prokaryote. RNAcentral describes it as "partial 16S ribosomal RNA". It matches the Rfam family "Bacterial small subunit ribosomal RNA", at positions 524 to 776 of the family's 1533-position model. The record is from RNAcentral.